CCUACGGGAGGCUGCAGUGAGGAAUAUUGGUCAAUGGACGAGAGUCUGAACCAGCCAAGUCGCGUGAAGGAUGACUGCCCUAUGGGUUGUAAACUUCUUUUAUAAGGGAAUAAAACGCGGCACGUGUGCCUUUUUGCAUGUACUUUAUGAAUAAGGAUCGGCUAACUCCGUGCCAGCAGCCGCGGUAAUACGGAGGAUCCGAGCGUUAUCCGGAUUUAUUGGGUUUAAAGGGAGCGUAGUUGGGUUGUUAAGUCAGUUGUGAAAGUUUGCGGCUCAACCGUAAAAUUGCAAUUGAUACUGGCAGGCUAGAGUACAGUUGAGGUAGGCGGAAUGCGUGGUGUAGCGGUGAAAUGCUUAGAGAUCACGAAGAACACCGAUUGCGAAGGCAGCUUACUAAACUGUGACUGACAUUGAUGCUCGAAAGUGUGGGUAUCAAACAGGAUUAGAUACCCUUGUAGUC
This 460-nucleotide ribosomal RNA is filed under the name uncultured bacterium. RNAcentral's name for it is "partial 16S ribosomal RNA". It matches the Rfam family "Bacterial small subunit ribosomal RNA", at positions 338 to 795 of the family's 1533-position model. The record is from RNAcentral.